GUAUUCAUUUUUGUCUAUGCUUUUUCGGAAGUAUAGGCAAGAGAUUUGAGUCUCCCAACUGGGUUUCUUGAAAUAGAUUGCCUCUGUCUAGUAAAAAGCGACGACGUUUUUCAUACCCUGCAGAAAAGUAUUUGAAUGGAACCCUGGUUUCUUAUGAUGCUGAAUAAGUAGGAGAAAGAAAGAGUUUUUUACGGUCAUAGGUUCAUAACCAUAAAGCUUUCGAGCUUGAA
RNAcentral lists this unclassified non-coding RNA (230 nucleotides) under uncultured Rhizophydiales. RNAcentral describes it as "sequence contains ITS2". Lineage: Eukaryota; Fungi; Chytridiomycota; Chytridiomycetes; Rhizophydiales. The record is from RNAcentral.